CAUAUAACUGUCAUUGUCAGUGAAAGCUAAAUCUUUUACAGUGGGAGCACAAUUAUCAUAUUUCCUAAUUUUAAUUAUUAAAUAUUAAUUUGAUUCCGGCAAGUUGAAGGAGAAAAAUGGACGACGAUCUACCGACCGACUUCCAGGUCAUCGUCGUUGGAACGGGUCUGGUCGAGUCUAUAGUAGCUGCAGCGUGCAGUCGAAUACGGAAGAAUGUUCUCCAUCUGGACUCCAGAGAUCACUACGGAGGCUUGUGGGCUUCACAUAAUUUUGAAGGCCUUCAGAAGUUCAUCAAAGAAAUCACCACAGAUCCCAGUAGACAACUCCAAGUGUACAAUUUAAUUGAAAAGUGGUAUAUACCCAAAGAAUCCCAAGAAGUGAAACAAGAGGGAGAAGAUGGCAAGACUGAAGACGGGAAGGAAGCUAAGAAGGUGUGGAGCCAGGCAGACUUCGCCUCUGAAUACAGAAAGUUCAAUAUUGACAUGACACCAAAGCUGUUGUUCGCGCGGGGGCCACUAGUCGAGCUGUUGAUCUCCUCGAACAUCGCCCGCUACGCGGAGUUCCGCUGCGUGACGCGGGUACUGACGUGGAUGAGCGACAAGCUGAUGCCGGUGCCGUGCUCGCGCGCCGACGUGUUCGCAACCGAGGCGGUCAGCAUCGUUGAGAAGCGAAUGCUCAUGAAAAUGCUCACUUCCAUCGUUGGUUACAAUGAAGAAGAAAUGGAUAACGAAUUUAAGGAUUGGACCGACAAAACGUUCCAAGAAUAUUUGACGCACAAAGGCCUGACUCCGAAUCUGAUCCACUACGUGUUGUACGCUAUCGCGGGUGGAACCAACGCCAUGCCGUGCUUGGAGGGCGUGCGCGAGUGCAAGAAGUUCCUCAUGAGCCUCGGCCGCUAUGGGAACACGCCGUUCUUGUGGCCCAUGUACGGUAGCGGGGAGCUGCCGCAAUGCUUCUGCCGAUUGUGCGCAGUGUUCGGCGGCGUGUACUGCCUCAACCGGCCGAUAGACACUGUCGAGAACAAGACCGUCGACGACAAGAAGGUCGUGGUCAUCGAGAGCAAGUCCAAGACGCUGACCUGCGACCACCUGGUGCUUGGCAUCAACGAGGGGCCCAAAGACCUCCUGUCCCAGGAGCAUUCGGACAGUUCGGAUAUAUCCAGGGCCGUAUUCAUAACGAACGGCACGAUUAUGUCCAGUGAGAAGGAGCCGCUGACUUUGCUGAGGUUCCCUCCGUUGAAUGAGGACAACAAUGCUACCACUGUGUUGGAGGUUGGCCCCGCCACUGGAUCGUGCCCUAAGGGGUUGUUUGUGGUGUACUUCAUAACGAACAAAGUGGUAGACGCCGAGACGGACCUCAUGCCAUACGCCCAGAAGAUCUUCGACAUGUCGGGCGGAGAGCAGACUGAGGCUUCUGACAAACCCAAGUGCCUUUGGUCGCUGUUCUACAACGUGAAGGACACGAGCGCGACGGUGCGCGACGGCGUGGAGGGAGUGCACGUGUGCGCUGGACCCGACGCCGGCCUGGACUUCGACCGCGCCGUGCACCAGGUGUGUUUGAGUGUUGUCGCAGUGCUUGUGCUCGCUGCUCUACAACGUGAAGGACACGAGCGCGACGGUGCGCGACGGCGUGGAGGGAGUGCACGUGUGCGCUGGACCCGACGCCGGCCUGGACUUCGACCGCGCCGUGCACCAGGUGUGUUUGAGUGUUGUCGCAGUGCCUGUGCUCGCUGCUCUACAACGUGAAGGACACGAGCGCGACGGUGCGCGACGGCGUGGAGGGAGUGCACGUGUGCGCUGGACCCGACGCCGGCCUGGACUUCGACCGCGCCGUGCACCAGGUGUGUUUGAGUGUUGUCGCAGUGCCUGUGCUCGCUGCUCUACAACGUGAAGGACACGAGCGCGACGGUGCGUGACGGCGUGGAGGGAGUGCACGUGUGCGCUGGACCCGACGCCGGCCUGGACUUCGACCGCGCCGUGCACCAGGUGUGUUUGAGUGUUGUCGCAGUGCCUGUGCUCGCUGCUCUACAACGUGAAGGACACGAGCGCGACGGUGCGCGACGGCGUGGAGGGAGUGCACGUGUGCGCUGGACCCGACGCCGGCCUGGACUUCGACCGCGCCGUGCACCAGGUGUGUUUGAGUGUUGUCGCAGUGCCUGUGCUCGCUGCUCUACAACGUGAAGGACACGAGCGCGACGGUGCGCGACGGCGUGGAGGGAGUGCACGUGUGCGCUGGACCCGACGCCGGCCUGGACUUCGACCGCGCCGUGCACCAGGUGUGUUUGAGUGUUGUCGCAGUGCCUGUGCUCGCUGCUCUACAACGUGAAGGACACGAGCGCGACGGUGCGCGACGGCGUGGAGGGAGUGCACGUGUGCGCUGGACCCGACGCCGGCCUGGACUUCGACCGCGCCGUGCACCAGGUGUGUUUGAGUGUUGUCGCAGUGCCUGUGCUCGCUGCUCUACAACGUGAAGGACACGAGCGCGACGGUGCGCGACGGCGUGGAGGGAGUGCACGUGUGCGCUGGACCCGACGCCGGCCUGGACUUCGACCGCGCCGUGCACCAGGUGUGUUUGAGUGUUGUCGCAGUGCCUGUGCUCGCUGCUCUACAACGUGAAGGACACGAGCGCGACGGUGCGCGACGGCGUGGAGGGAGUGCACGUGUGCGCUGGACCCGACGCCGGCCUGGACUUCGACCGCGCCGUGCACCAGGCGGAAGAAAUCUUCAAGAAGAUCUGCCCCGGCGAGGAGUUCCUCCCGCGAGCACCGGACCCCGAGGAGAUCGUGUUCGAGGACGACGUCACCCACGGGCCGGAGUUCCAGGGUGAACAGGAGGACGCCGAUGGAGACAAGGAGUGAAGGCUUUAGGGUUAGCGUUUUUAAUCACAGCACUGUCUCGUGUGUUGCAGAAAUUCUAGCACCAAAUAUAUAGGACCACAUAUGCUCAUAUUAAGACAUCGCAUGUUGGUUCAAACUCGAUAUUUUUCCUGUCGAAAUAAUAGAAUAUUUUCUUAGACUCAUAACUUCAUCGAUAGUCGUCUGUAGUAGGCCUAACAAGCGUGAACGACAUAAUCUAGUGAUGUGAAAAAGACAAAUGUCGACCGAAGUAAAUACGCGCAAAGUUGAAAACGCAAAAAACUUAUUUAUUUCAGUAAUAUAGUAUUGCAAAUGAAAAUUGAUUGAGACGUAGGCAUUUAGACAUGGGUUCUUUCAGGUCAGACUAUAAUCAUUAUCAUUGGGUUUUAGUCGAGACUUGUCGUGAAAUCUUCAUAAUCGAGUUUGUCGAUAUCGAAAGUUCAUCGUCACUAGAUGACUAGAUGAUGUUUUUAUAGACUCCGCGCCUAUUUCAUCAAAAUCUUGGAGGCUAGAAGCUAUUUCAUAAUGAAUUGUACUUUGUUGGUGGAACUACAGCUUUUUAAAUAUUUUUAGGGGAAAAUUAACGAAUUUUUAACUUCCAAACAUUAUCUAUCACUUAAGUAGAGCAGUAGAUUAUUUGCAGUUAUUAUAACAUAUCAGAUUUCGCUAGCGUUACCGUUAACCAUAGACUAAGGCAUUUGUAGAAGUUACACCAACAGUAAUUAUUCUUCCGAUUGAUCUCCUGUGGACACACAAGAUUGUGCUGUUUAAAUGUUAAGAUAUAAUCCCAGUAAGAUUUAUACGCUUUUUGGCUUGACUUUAUGCAUUCCGACUGGUGCGUUUGGGAUGCAGUCGGAUUAUAAGUACGCGCGUUAUCGACUGAGUCGCGAGGAACAUCAAUCAUUUCAUUAGGUCUAUCUAUUCGACUAUUUAUGGUCUCACGAUUCAGUUGAUGGCGCGUUUAGAAGAUUUUGGAACGAAAAUUAUUUUUUUAUAAUUCGAUUUUUUAUACAGCGAAAGUGAUUUAAUAUAGGUAAGAUGUAUUUGUUUUAUGUAUAUUUUUUACGUCGGUCAAUUGUAUUAUUGUAUACUAGCUAGGUUUUCUUGACAGGUUUAGCAAGAACAACUCUGAGCAAGAAACGAUCUAUAUGGAACUGUCAAGAGUUAUUUUUUUGCAUUGUUUUUAUAUUUUGAUAAUGCUCUCUAAUUAUGUGUAAAUUAGAAUUAUUUAUUAAUUUUAUUGUUUUGUAUAAACUAAGAGUUUAAAGAGCAAAUAAAAAUUGGUAUUGUUAUGAAUUAUUGAGUGAGCUAGGAAAGUAGGCCCUUUUUACACAGAGAUACAAAACGAAUAGCUUUCUAGCAGUAUAACCAAUAAAUUUGACCCAUAUAUAUCAAACUUUGACUUACAUUUUUCGUAUGCUAAUAAAAUGAUCCCUUGCACGAAAUUUCUAAGCUCAAAUAUUUCGACAAAGACUAUGGAAACACCUUUAUAUAAAUUUAAAUAUUAACUUAAACUACUUUGACUUUACCUACUUAUUUAAUUUUACAUAAAGUACUAAUCCUUAUGUAAAAAACCCUAAAAAUGACAAUUUAUAGAUGAUUCUGAAUUAGAAUCUUUGCAUUCGACCAAUUAAGUAUGUAGGUAUUUAAUCUAUGUCAGUUUUUUAUCUUGACUUUUUUUGUGUUGUGUAAUGAUCUUGUUUUUGUUGUGUAAUGAUUAGGAGUUUUACAUUAACAAUAACAAUGAGGCAAAUGUCUAUGAUAAUGAGGAAGAGGACAUAUAUAUUUUUCCUUUUUAAAAAAUCAAGUGAUGUCAAUACAAAGUCAGUAUUUCUGUGUGCGAAGGGCCUUAGAAGACAGCGCACCAGUCUUAGGAAUAGACAUAGCACAUUAGUUUUUUUAUUAUAAUUAAGUUAUUUUAGCACUCAUAUUUAUUGUCAAAUCGGAUAUGCAUAAAAGUGCAUGUGCAGCUUGGUGCAUAUUAUAAUUCCAUUAAAUUGUGAUUAUUAGUAAAA
RNA transcript from Bicyclus anynana (squinting bush brown), 4869 nucleotides. It is a transcript of the gene named rab proteins geranylgeranyltransferase component A 1, with no coding region annotated. The record is from RefSeq and is a predicted model, not a curated record. Lineage: Eukaryota; Metazoa; Arthropoda; Insecta; Lepidoptera; Nymphalidae. The transcript has 9 exons.